This 848-nucleotide long non-coding RNA is filed under the name Sus scrofa (pig). Its description in RNAcentral is "lncRNA (ENSSSCG00035008671.1)". Lineage: Eukaryota; Metazoa; Chordata; Mammalia; Artiodactyla; Suidae. The record is from RNAcentral.
AGUUUGAUGGCAUCUAAAGAAAUCUGUUGCCAUGCAGUAGUGAGACUCUCCAUGGCAACUUGAAGUCGGGGCCCCUCAGGACUCUGGGGGGGCCACAGUGAGCUCUUCUUCGAACUGCAUCCACCCUCCCUGGGAUGAGCUGCCUCAUGAGGAUCUUUGUCACCAGCGCUUGGGGAGCACCUCCAAAGAGACCCCCUUCUCUGCCCGUGUGCCCCCAUCCAGGACAGCUCCCGUGCCCUUCUGUCUUUGUCUUAAACCCAACCCAGCCAUCCUCAGAAGCUUCCUCCGAGCUGCCCCUCAUGUUGCCUUUCUCAAUCGUUUUGACAAGAAACACCAGCAGGAACAGUCAAGACUUGGAAGAAAUCUGAUUGGGUCAGAAAGAAGGGGGACCUUGGAUAAUGACAGUAAUUGUCACAACUUCCAAUCUUCCUCAAGCUUUAGAGUUCAGGACUCUGGAUCCCCUCACCAAGGCCACGGCACCAGAGAGGAUGAGAAGGGCUGAUGUUGCAUCUCAGCUGCCCUCUUAGCUGACUAGCCGCACGGAAAAAAAGCUCCUGGAUUUUGACUGGCUCUUCCACCUGCUCACCUGCUCCAGCCCUGAGGCAAGAAUGGCUGUGCUACCCAUGUCACCACACCUGAAGCACCCAGCUGCCCUUCCAGGACCAGCCUCAAAUCCAGACAAGUGACAGACUCACGGGGGGCAGGCGCCAGUGUGAGUGGAAAUCACUGGAUCGAUGAUCAAGGGGAUUGUUGCCCAGCUUUCAGUGGCGCGUUGGAGUCUUUUGAGGAAUUCAUCUUGAAACCCGGGAUUUAUUGAGAGCUAAAAGGUUUUUGAAGUUUCCAGUGUU